UAAUAAUGGGUAAAGUUACUUCGUAUAACCCCACUUAUAGGGUGUGGGGGUCUCUACCAGAAUCCGUAAAAUUCUGAUUACGAAGAGUUGAGUGAUUGAU
RNAcentral lists this non-coding RNA (100 nucleotides) under Photobacterium profundum. Its description in RNAcentral is "Guanine sequence". It matches the Rfam family "Purine riboswitch aptamer". Rfam says of the family: Riboswitches are metabolite binding domains within certain messenger RNAs that serve as precision sensors for their corresponding targets. Allosteric rearrangement of mRNA structure is mediated by ligand binding, and this results in modulation of gene expression. Lineage: Bacteria; Pseudomonadati; Pseudomonadota; Gammaproteobacteria; Vibrionales; Vibrionaceae. RNAcentral also lists the same sequence under 1 other name. The record is from Rfam by way of RNAcentral.